Molecule: ribosomal RNA, 253 nt
Filed under: uncultured bacterium
Lineage: Bacteria
Description: partial 16S ribosomal RNA
Rfam family: Bacterial small subunit ribosomal RNA
Source: RNAcentral
UACGUAGGUGGCAAGCGUUGUCCGGACUUACUGGGCGUAAAGGGCGUGCAGGCGGUUUGUUAAGUGCAGAGUGAAAGCUCCCGGCUCAACUGGGAGAGGUCUUUGCAUACUGGCAAACUCGAGGGAGGCAGAGGAAAGUGGAAUUCCUGGUGUAGCGGUGGAAUGCGCAGAUAUCAGGAGGAACACCGAUGGCGAAGGCAGGUCUCUGGGCCGCAACUGACGCUGAGGAGCGAAAGCAUGGGGAGCGAACAGG